AUUUGUAUUAGGGGUGGAUUCUUUACGCUAAACUGUUUCUUACUGUUCUUACUAAUCAAAUUUAUUUCUGCAAUGGAUCGCCGGUGUUCUUCUAAAUGAUAGAAAUUCCAGGAUUUAGAGAAAAGUCACUUCUUUCCAUUUUUGACACCUUGCACCAUGGACAAGCACAUUCUGCGAUUGCGCUACUGAGACCCAGGCAUAAUUGUACAAACUUCAUAUCACCUCCAAAGAAAACUUCGAUCUCAUAUUGACGGUCUUCAAUCAAAA
Molecule: long non-coding RNA, 267 nt
Filed under: Mytilus galloprovincialis (Mediterranean mussel)
Lineage: Eukaryota; Metazoa; Mollusca; Bivalvia; Mytilida; Mytilidae
Source: RNAcentral